This is a long non-coding RNA of Lagopus leucura (white-tailed ptarmigan), 560 nucleotides long. RefSeq lists it as uncharacterized. The record is from RefSeq and is a predicted model, not a curated record. The transcript has 3 exons. NCBI's taxonomy places the organism in Eukaryota, Metazoa, Chordata, Aves, Galliformes, Phasianidae.
AUCCUGCCUGGGUCCUCUGCCCUCCUGUCUGUGCUGGAAGUCAGUGCUCCAUCCUCUGAGCCCUCUGUUAUGAUUAUGCCUGGAUGGUCAUUGGGCCCCUGUUUUGGUCUUGAAAUCAACAGUGGAAGCAAAGAUGUCCUGGGAGAGGGGAAUUCGUGCCCUUAGAAUAGCUGCAUGGAUGAAACAGAGGAUGAAAAAGCUUGAACACAAAUGUCUUGAUAAUAAACACAAAUGUGUUUAUUGCCAUGUAUUAAAGUAAUGGUGCUGGUCAACCUGAGAAGGAGAUGCUUCCUUAUGGUCUGAUGCGGGCAGUUAGGCCCAAUGUAAGAUUUCUCUACCUGUGAACGAGGACGUAAACGAGGCUGGACGUUGAUUAUGGUUAUUUUCACCACAUUUCUCCCCUGCUCUGAAACUCCAUUUCAUUUUGAUCUGAAACAUUUUUCUUUUCCUUUUGCCGACUGACCUGGAAAAUCCACUGUUCAACUGAAUCUAAGCUACCCCAAAUACAGAGCUUCUGUCCAGAGAAGUAAUUUGUUUUUUUGCCAUCAGUCCAUUUGUUA